GAGUUUGAUCCUGGCUCAGGAUGAACGCUAGCUACAGGCUUAACACAUGCAAGUCGAGGGGCAGCAUUAAAGUUUGCUUGCAAACUUUAGAUGGCGACCGGCGCACGGGUGAGUAACACGUAUCCAACCUGCCGAUAACUCGGGGAUAGCCUUUCGAAAGAAAGAUUAAUACCCGAUGGUAUAUUUUCACCGCAUGGUGAGACUAUUAAAGAAUUUCGGUUAUCGAUGGGGAUGCGUUCCAUUAGGCAGUUGGUGAGGUAACGGCUCACCAAACCUUCGAUGGAUAGGGGUUCUGAGAGGAAGGUCCCCCACAUUGGAACUGAGACACGGUCCAAACUCCUACGGGAGGCAGCAGUGAGGAAUAUUGGUCAAUGGGCGCGAGCCUGAACCAGCCAAGUAGCGUGAAGGAUGACGGCCCUAUGGGUUGUAAACUUCUUUUAUAUGGGAAUAAAGUUUGGUAUGUAUACCAUUUUGUAUGUACCAUA
RNAcentral lists this ribosomal RNA (485 nucleotides) under uncultured bacterium. Its description in RNAcentral is "bacterial SSU rRNA". It matches the Rfam family "Bacterial small subunit ribosomal RNA", at positions 9 to 482 of the family's 1533-position model. The record is from RNAcentral.